GACGAACGCUGGCGGCGUGCUUAACACAUGCAAGUCGAACGGAAAGGCCUCUUUCGGGGGGUACUCGAGUGGCGAACGGGUGAGUAACACGUGAGUAACCUGCCCUUGACUUUGGGAUAACUUCAGGAAACUGGGGCUAAUACCGGAUAGGAGCUCCUGCUGCAUGGUGGGGGUUGGAAAGUUUCGGCGGUUGGGGAUGGACUCGCGGCUUAUCAGCUUGUUGGUGGGGUAGUGGCUUACCAAGGCUUUGACGGGUAGCCGGCCUGAGAGGGUGACCGGCCACAUUGGGACUGAGAUACGGCCCAGACUCCUACGGGAGGCAGCAGGGGGGAAUAUUGCACAAUGGGUGGAAGCCUGAUGCAGCAACGCCGUGUGCGGGAGGACGGACUUCGGGUUGUAAACCGCGUUCGCUCAUGACGAAGCUUUGUGUGACGGUAGUGGGUAAAGAAGCACCGGCUAACUACGUG
Molecule: ribosomal RNA, 467 nt
Filed under: uncultured bacterium
Lineage: Bacteria
Description: partial 16S ribosomal RNA
Rfam family: Bacterial small subunit ribosomal RNA
Source: RNAcentral